RNAcentral lists this transfer RNA (67 nucleotides) under Marmota monax (woodchuck). Its description in RNAcentral is "tRNA.Ala". The record is from RNAcentral. Lineage: Eukaryota; Metazoa; Chordata; Mammalia; Rodentia; Sciuridae.
GGUGAUGGCUCAGUGGUAGAGAGCUUGCCUAGCAUGUAUGAGGCACUGGGUUUGAUUCUCAGAACCA